UGUAAAAGGGGGAAAAUCAAGAAGAAAAUUGAGCUCCUCUCUCCCAAUUCGUGGUCGAUCUCAACAGACAUGGCGGCGUACUUUGAUUUGUAUUGUCUCUCCCUAACCCUAAUCAAUCCUUCAUCUAAUCAUGGCCACCGAUACCCACCAUGGCAGGAGUGUGAGGGAAGGUUUACAGUUAAGGGGAAGGAAACUGAUGUCAUUUUGUGGUCUCUUUCUCAGGUACCCGAGCGAUGCAGAUAAGCAUCUGUUGGCAAGAAAGACCGGUCUAUCCCGAAAUCAGGUUUGUCCCUCUCCACUCUCAGCUUUCCACAAUUCACCACACUUUUACAUUGUAUCUAAGAGGGAAUCUUUACUCUGUUAAUUUUAAUGUAAUUAUAGUACAUGAUGAACGAACGGACCACAUAAGAAAAUGAAAGAUAAUCUGUUAAGGGAAUGGAAGAAAAGGGGUCAGUUGUAGGUUCAGAUAAAAUUUGCAUGGUUUUGGGUUUUUGUUGAUUUCUCUGGUUUCAUACUGACAUUUGUGGUGGCGUGGUGAGAGAUGCUGUGGGACAGUGUGUCUUGGCUUCAACAGUAACCUGGGCGAGUUCAUGUUCGACGACACCGCCGAGGUGCAGAUAAUCGAUCUCUUGCCAUCCUGAAAAGUUGGGCAAUGGGAUUUUCUCUGUCAAGCAUUUCCUUUAGAUCUUCAACUAUGGUUGCAUCAAGUUCUUCUGCCUUUGCUCCCUUUUUGAAGGAGCGCAUUCUAUUUUGGAUUUCAUUUUCUGUAUCAUGGAUAUAAAGCUGGCAGAAUUUUGGGGUUUCUCCUUCUUCAGUUGCAGAGAUUCAAUGCAGAUCUUCUAAGCGAUUGGGAAUAUGCUCCAAGUUGGACUUUGCAGCGUUCACUUCAGAUCCAAUUGAGGAGUCGUUGAUUUCCAAUAUGGUCUCUGUUACUUUGUCUGGUACUCAUCUUUAUUUGAAAAACAUGUGAAGAGCCUAUGGUUUUCAGGAGUUGUGGAGGUAGGUCCAAAUCCCUCUUAUCUCCCUAUAUUGUACAAUCAUAGAUGGAUAAAGAUUAGAAUCAUAAUUUUAACAUAAUAAGCAUUUUACGUGUCUUCAUUAUGAUUGAAAAAUGGGCAAAAUUAGUUUGUUCCUGACCUGUUCAAAGGCUGAUAAAAGAUCAUGUAAUUUCACAUGUGCUAUUUGUUCAGCAAUGUCAUCAAAUACAACAAAUAUAGUUGAAUUGGUAGCAUCUCUGACAUCAAGCUCUAAUCGAAACCUAAUAUAAAUAAUAUAGAACAUUAAUAAUUUAAUUUUCAUUUCAUUGAAUAUAUUAUAUUAGAAGUAUUGGUUACCUUGUUGUUGGAUAGUCAACAUUCUUGUGGCAGGAAUCACAACUGAACUUUGUUGAUGUGUUAGAGACCUUUCUUUUGCAAUGAGGGCAGGAAACAUAAAACCACCCGUUUUUCAGCAAGAUGUCAUUUAUAGUUGCAGCACAACAAUAGGAUGUUGAAGUCUAAGUUUUUGCAGGGUGGUUCAUUGCUUUGAAAUGGGAGGUUAUGGAUUUGUGCAGAAUUUAUGAAAUUGAGAGACAGUAUUAAUUUCAAUUAACAUUGUUAUUGAAAAAGUGUGCUCAAAAACAUUGUACACGUGAUGUAUAUAGUAUAUAGAAGAUUUCUUUGAGCAGCUGAAGGAAAUUCCGUUGGAAUAAUUUCUUUAAUGUCACUAUGUAGUAUUGUUGUCAGUUUCACAUUUGUCAUUUUCAUUAAGUGCUGUGUAGUCAGUUUUAUAUUUGUCAGUUUCAGGUUGUUGUGUAACUUUCCUUGGUUACUUGUCAGCCUCAUUGAGAAGCAUCUGUCAUCUUUGUAAUUGAAGUUGGAUUUGAUGAAACACAUACGUGUGCAAAGUGUAUUGAAAUCUCUAUUGACCACAUUGGAAACUUAAA
Lotus japonicus is the source of this 1924-nucleotide long non-coding RNA. RefSeq lists it as uncharacterized. The transcript has 7 exons. NCBI's taxonomy places the organism in Eukaryota, Viridiplantae, Streptophyta, Magnoliopsida, Fabales, Fabaceae. The record is from RefSeq and is a predicted model, not a curated record.